This 1017-nucleotide long non-coding RNA is filed under the name Chrysemys picta bellii (western painted turtle). RNAcentral's name for it is "lncRNA (ENSCPBG00000000906.1)". Lineage: Eukaryota; Metazoa; Chordata; Testudines; Emydidae. The record is from RNAcentral.
AAUAAAAGAGGCAAGGAGGCGCUGCUAGGCUAGGAAGGCGAGGCAAGCGCAGCUGCAGCUCUAGCUCUAGCGCGCGCUCUCUUUCCCUGCUUCUGUCUUCGCUCCCUAAGUUCCAGGGGGAUCCUGAAGCCAGGCAGCGCCCCCGGUGAAGCCCGACAGAGGCGAUCCAUGCUCACGAUUCAACUGUACAUACAAUCGCCUGAAUAUACAUGCAAAGAAUUGGGAAUGCAAGUGGUGAAUAAUCACAAAAGGCUAGAUUCUUCCAUCCUUGCUCACAGUGAGUAGCACCCUUACUCCUCCACAAGUUGUGUGGUCAUACCUCACUCUUCUUGUUUUCGACUUGCCAGGAAUCAAAGCGGAAUAACUGGGCCCAUAGGAUGUGUAGUGUAUUAGAGCCUUUUCCUGAAUUGAACUUUAUUUUGAUUAUGUAGGCCUGAUUCUGUCAUCCUUGUGUUCACUGAAAAGUAGCUUAUUCCUCAAGAAAUCCAAUUUGAAGUUAAUGGGACAACUUGCAGGAUAAAGUACUACUCAGUAUGUGGAAGGGUGGUACUUACAGUUAGGACCCUGAUUCAAUAUAGCACUUCACCACAUGCUGAAGUCCCACUGAAGUAAAGCACGGGUGUAAGUGCUUUGCUGAAGCAAGGCUAAAAUCUAUAGAACCAGAUUCUGAUACCCUCACUUACAUGAGGUAGUACCUUUAUGUCCAGCUCCUCAAAGAUAUUUAGGUGCCUAACUUUCCAUUGACUUCAAAUACCUUUGAGGAUCUGGGUCUUACUCCAGGUUAGUCCUGUUGACUUCAGCAGGGCUAUUUCAGGAAUAAGUAGGGUGACCAGAUAGCAAGUGUGAAAAAUUGGGACAGGGGUUGGGGGGCAAUAGGUAAGAGCCCCCAAAAUCGGGACUGUCCCUAUAAAAUCGGGACAUCUGGUCACCCUAGGAAUAAGGAACUAAUCAACAUGAGUAGGGGUGUCAGAACCUGGCCAGUAUUCAGACCCUGAAAUAAAAGUGGCUUGAUUUCCA